RNAcentral lists this ribosomal RNA (1570 nucleotides) under Salmonella enterica. RNAcentral describes it as "partial 23S ribosomal RNA". It matches the Rfam family "Bacterial large subunit ribosomal RNA", at positions 1292 to 2840 of the family's 2925-position model. Lineage: Bacteria; Pseudomonadati; Pseudomonadota; Gammaproteobacteria; Enterobacterales; Enterobacteriaceae. RNAcentral also lists the same sequence under 1 other name. The record is from RNAcentral.
GAAUGCUGACAUAAGUAACGAUAAAGCGGGUGAAAAGCCCGCUCGCCGGAAGACCAAGGGUUCCUGUCCAACGUUAAUCGGGGCAGGGUGAGUCGACCCCUAAGGCGAGGCCGAAAGGCGUAGUCGAUGGGAAACGGGUUAAUAUUCCCGUACUUGGUGUUACUGCGAAGGGGGGACGGAGAAGGCUAUGUUGGCCGGGCGACGGUUGUCCCGGUUUAAGCGUGUAGGUGUGUGUUCCAGGUAAAUCCGGUUCACUUUAACACUGAGGCGUGACGACGAGGCACUACGGUGCUGAAGCAACAAAUGCCCUGCUUCCAGGAAAAGCCUCUAAGCAUCAGGUAACAUCAAAUCGUACCCCAAACCGACACAGGUGGUCAGGUAGAGAAUACCAAGGCGCUUGAGAGAACUCGGGUGAAGGAACUAGGCAAAAUGGUGCCGUAACUUCGGGAGAAGGCACGCUGACACGUAGGUGAAGUGAUUUACUCAUGGAGCUGAAGUCAGUCGAAGAUACCAGCUGGCUGCAACUGUUUAUUAAAAACACAGCACUGUGCAAACACGAAAGUGGACGUAUACGGUGUGACGCCUGCCCGGUGCCGGAAGGUUAAUUGAUGGGGUCAGCGCAAGCGAAGCUCCUGAUCGAAGCCCCGGUAAACGGCGGCCGUAACUAUAACGGUCCUAAGGUAGCGAAAUUCCUUGUCGGGUAAGUUCCGACCUGCACGAAUGGCGUAAUGAUGGCCAGGCUGUCUCCACCCGAGACUCAGUGAAAUUGAACUCGCUGUGAAGAUGCAGUGUACCCGCGGCAAGACGGAAAGACCCCGUGAACCUUUACUAUAGCUUGACACUGAACAUUGAGCCUUGAUGUGUAGGAUAGGUGGGAGGCUUUGAAGUGUGGACGCCAGUCUGCAUGGAGCCGACCUUGAAAUACCACCCUUUAAUGUUUGAUGUUCUAACGUGGACCCGUUACCCGGGUUGCGGACAGUGUCUGGUGGGUAGUUUGACUGGGGCGGUCUCCUCCUAAAGAGUAACGGAGGAGCACGAAGGUUGGCUAAUCCUGGUCGGACAUCAGGAGGUUAGUGCAAUGGCAUAAGCCAGCUUGACUGCGAGCGUGACGGCGCGAGCAGGUGCGAAAGCAGGUCAUAGUGAUCCGGUGGUUCUGAAUGGAAGGGCCAUCGCUCAACGGAUAAAAGGUACUCCGGGGAUAACAGGCUGAUACCGCCCAAGAGUUCAUAUCGACGGCGGUGUUUGGCACCUCGAUGUCGGCUCAUCACAUCCUGGGGCUGAAGUAGGUCCCAAGGGUAUGGCUGUUCGCCAUUUAAAGUGGUACGCGAGCUGGGUUUAGAACGUCGUGAGACAGUUCGGUCCCUAUCUGCCGUGGGCGCUGGAGAACUGAGGGGGGCUGCUCCUAGUACGAGAGGACCGGAGUGGACGCAUCACUGGUGUUCGGGUUGUCAUGCCAAUGGCACUGCCCGGUAGCUAAAUGCGGAAGAGAUAAGUGCUGAAAGCAUCUAAGCACGAAACUUGCCCCGAGAUGAGUUCUCCCUGAGACUUAGAGUCUCCUGAAGGAACGUUG